ACGGUAGAGCCCGGCCUACUGUGGUGAUAACGGGUAGCGGGGAAUAAGGGUUCUAUACCGGAGAGGGAGCAUGAGAAACGGCUACCACAUCCAAGGAAGGCAGCAGGCACGCAAAUUACCCACUCCCGGCACGGGGAGGUAGUGACGAUCAAUAACGAUGCGGGACUCUGACGAGGCUCCAUAAUCGGAAUGGGCGUAGUUUAAAUCCUUCGACGAGGAUCAAGUGGAGGGCAAGUCUGGUGCCAGCAGCCGCGGUAAUUCCAGCUCCACUAGCGUAUAUUAAAGUUGCUGCAGUUAAAAAGCUCGUAGUCGGAUCUCGGGAUCGUGUCGGCUGGUUCGUGGUUUCUCCUGCGGUUCCGCCGUUGGGAGUUUCCGUGGGCCGUCGGCCCUGCCGGCUAGGUCCCCGCCUGAUGGCGGGGUUCCACCUGGCUUGUGCAGCCCGCCGUCGCGUUUGGGUGGGUGUCCUUGAUUGGAUGCCCGCUCUCGAACGUGGCUCGUUUACCUUGAACAAAUCGGAGUGCUCAAAGCAGGCUCUACGUCGCUCGAACGGUAGCGCAUGGAAUAAUGGAAGAGGACCGGCUUCCGCUUCUGUUGGUCUCACGGAGGCAGGUAAUGAUCAAGAGGGACGGACGGGGGCGGAGGUAUGGCUCGGCGAGAGGUGAAAUUCUUGGACCCUAGCCAGACCCUCGAGAGCGAAAGCAUCCGCCAAGGAUGUUUCCAUUGAUCAAGAACGAAAGUCGCGGGAUCGAACGGGAUUAGAUACCCCGGUAGUCGCGACCGUAAACGAUGCCAACCGGGAAUUUGGCGGCGUUACUUCCAUGACCCGUCAAGCGCCCGACCCGGGAAACCGAGAGUCUUUGGGUUCCGGGGGGAGUAUGGUUGCAAAGCUGAAACUUAAAGGAAUUGACGGAAGGGCACCACCAGGAGUGGAGCCUGCGGCUUAAUUUG
RNAcentral lists this ribosomal RNA (948 nucleotides) under uncultured eukaryote. RNAcentral describes it as "SSU rRNA". It matches the Rfam family "Eukaryotic small subunit ribosomal RNA", at positions 325 to 1197 of the family's 1831-position model. The record is from RNAcentral.